GGUCCAUUCGUCUAUCGGUUAGGACACAAGAUUUUCAUUCUUGGAAGAGCGGUUCGAUUCCGCUAUGGACU
This 71-nucleotide transfer RNA is filed under the name Muribaculaceae bacterium. Its description in RNAcentral is "tRNA-Glu". It matches the Rfam family "tRNA". From Rfam's summary of the family: Transfer RNA (tRNA) molecules are approximately 80 nucleotides in length. Their secondary structure includes four short double-helical elements and three loops (D, anti-codon, and T loops). The record is from RNAcentral. Lineage: Bacteria; Pseudomonadati; Bacteroidota; Bacteroidia; Bacteroidales; Muribaculaceae.